RNAcentral lists this ribosomal RNA (393 nucleotides) under uncultured bacterium. Its description in RNAcentral is "bacterial SSU rRNA". It matches the Rfam family "Bacterial small subunit ribosomal RNA", at positions 30 to 423 of the family's 1533-position model. The record is from RNAcentral.
AUUGAACGCUGGCGGCAUGCCUUACACAUGCAAGUCGAACGGCAGCACGGGAGCUUGCUCCUGGUGGCGAGUGGCGAACGGGUGAGUAAUACACCGGAACGUACCCUGAAGUGGGGGAUAACGUAGCGAAAGUUACGCUAAUACCGCAUAUUCUGUGAGCAGGAAAGAGGGGGAUCGCAAGACCUCUUGCUUUAGGAGCGGCCGAUGUCGGAUUAGCUAGUUGGUGAGGUAAAGGCUCACCAAGGCGACGAUCCGUAGCGGGUCUGAGAGGAUGAUCCGCCACACUGGGACUGAGACACGGCCCAGACUCCUACGGGAGGCAGCAGUGGGGAAUUUUGGACAAUGGGCGCAAGCCUGAUCCAGCCAUGCCGCGUGAGUGAAGAAGGCCUCGGU